This 236-nucleotide ribosomal RNA is filed under the name uncultured bacterium. RNAcentral's name for it is "partial 16S ribosomal RNA". It matches the Rfam family "Bacterial small subunit ribosomal RNA", at positions 86 to 339 of the family's 1533-position model. The record is from RNAcentral.
UCGGGGUGAGCGGCGGACGGGUUAGUAACGCGUGGGAACGUACCCUUCUCUACGGAAUAGCCAUUGGAAACGAUGAGUAAUACCGUAUACGCCCUUUGGGGGAAAGAUUUAUCGGAGAAAGAUCGGCCCGCGUUAGAUUAGAUAGUUGGUGGGGUAAUGGCCUACCAAGUCUACGAUGGUUAGCUGGUCUGAGAGGAUGAUCAGCCACACUGGGACUGAGACACGGCCCAGACUCC